AAAAUGGCAGAAAUGUAAAAGCUAAAAUCUGCUAGUUGCCCUACUUUCUUUUCCUAUAAAGACAUCUCUAUCUUGCUUUCCAACGAAGGGAAUUAGGAGAUAAAAUCUGAGAGAUUAGACCUUAAAGGGCUUUAGGAGAAAAAUUUCAGGAAAAAUAAAAAAUAACUGGAAAAUUUACUAAAAUCACUGUUUCAUUGAAAUUCAUUCUGUGAUUUCUCAAGUUUUCAAUUUCUGAAAUGAGUUCUGAUCUACCUGGGGAUGAAAUAGUUUGAGUUUGGUGGUUCAAAAGUUGGUUUGAAGUUUUGGUUGUUGAUUUUUGAUUGCUGCACAUCAGUCUUUGGUUUAAAGUUAGUUCUGAGGUUUAUUUCUCCUGCUGGCUACUGUUGUUGCUACUGAUCUUACCCAUUUUUUACUUUCAUUUUCAAGUAUUUCCUUAUUCCAGCAGCACUGAUUGAAUGUUGAUUAUGUAAAUAAAGUGGAAAGUGUUUGCCAUAGUUUCUCUCUGUUUCUCUCUUACUGUUUAAAUACCAUGUAGUAGACUUGUAAUGGUAGGUCUUAAAUGAGCCGGUACUGGUAUAUUAUAAAACUGGGUUUGUGUUUUAGUUAAUUGUCUAGUUUCAAUAUUAAAAAGCAUGUUUAGAAGGUGUAUGAGUAGGUUUGUAGACUAUUUGUAUGGCAAAUGAAUCAUGAGCCUCAACUAUUCAGUUUUAUUUUGAUUUUGUGUUCUUGGUCGCAUAUUUUUUGCUUAAGUUUCUACCGAAAAUCAGUAAGGUUUAGUUCAAAUGUUUAUCUGAAUCCAUUGAUGGUUAGGUGUUUGGUUUGUAUGUGUGUUGAUGUUGUUUUAUAAGCAUGUUUAUGCAUGAGCCUAUGGUUUGAGAUCAUGUUUGUUCAUUAGGCCCGUUUACAAAUUUCCAUUUAUCAUUCACACGGGUUAAGCCAAGGUUUGAAUGAAUUUGAAGUAGCCUGAGUGUUCUUGCGAAGUUAGUUAAAUCCGUGGUUCCAUCAUGUUUACUCAUGAGCCAUAAUGAACUAGUGAUUGUUUGAUUUAGGAACAUUUGGUCAAAUUAGUCCAUGUUAAGGCAAUUUGCACAUGUGGAAGUCAAAUGGGAAUUUGUGCAUACGUCUUUAGGCUCAGAUUCUAAUUGGUUUUGCCUUGUGUCAGUUUGUUGAAGAUAGGUGUUACUUCAGAUCCCUUUCUUCUUUUCUUUCACAAUAAAUUAAAUAAAAGUGAUAAAACAAGAUUUGGGUAACACCUAGUCCCACAUCUGGACCAGUUCCCUUUAAAAGAAACCCGUGAUUUUCAGACCAAUGCUAAGUUUAAAUCCCUUUCCCCAAGCCGUUUGGUAAAUAAGGCGUCAUGUAUACAUGGAUUGGAACAGUGCAAAUAGAAUACCAUUGGUUGGAAAUUCAUGUUUCUUUUAAAUGGAUCAUGAUUGUAGUUUAACUAGGGAGAACCAUAGUAGAUGAACGACUAGAUUAUGGCCCUCAACGUUUUGAUCGGAUUUUUAGAUCGGAGGUGAGCCAUACUAGCUAAUAAAUAGUUUAUGGCCCUCCGUAGUGUAAUUGGAAUUCCCUUUUAAGAAUUAAAAUCGGGAUGUUUCGUGCCAAAUGAAAUUUCAAAAUUGCAUGACAUUCGUUUAAUUAAUAUUUUUAUCCUUAGAAAUCAAAGAGUGCCAUUUAGCGAAUUUUCCAUGGCCCUCACAAAUUAAAAGAAGCAUAGUUUCUUUAGGCGCGUUAUUUAAUAAUAUUAUCUUCCUAAAUCGGGUGAGCAUUUAUGUGAUCCAAAUCCAAUAUGUUGCGGACCAGGGCUGCAUUUAUGUGACGUGUUUCAAGACGUAUUUUUGAUAACAUUGAAUGUCUCUUAAAAAUAUUAAUUGAACAAAAGUGGUUAUAAAGUUAAAAUUGCACGUAGGUCUAAAAAUUUUUAAAAUCAAGUACUAGGCCAAUUGUAGUAGUUGAGGACCGCGCUAGAACCACGGAACUUGGGAAUUCCGAACACCUUCACCCGAGUUAACAAAAUUCCUUAUCCAGAUUUCUGGUUUGCGGACCGUAAUACAGAGUAAAUCUUUUUUCGAUUCGGAAUUUGAACCGGUAACUUAGGACACCGUAAAUUAUCCCAAGUGACGACUCUAAUUCUUUAAUUGAAAUGAUUCUAUUUCGAUUGUCACUUUAAUUGGAAGAACUCCUUUAUGAUUUUCCAGGGGUGUAAGUAAAAAGGGUAGGUGUGACAAUAAUUUUGAACCCUUUUAUCUUAAAUUAUUUUGAACCUUCGUGCCACCCUUUCUUUCCAAUCCUGUCCAAAAGCUUACAUUAUAGUUCAAAGAAAGACCUUUCGACCAAUCAUUGAGGAUGCCAAAUCAAGCAUGCGGUAAAAGUAUGAUCUUCUAGCAUUAUGGGUAAUACCUUAUUCUCAGCAUAAAGAGAGAAAAUGAUAAAAUGAGAGAGUCUUAUCGGUAAAAACCCUCAUGGGCACUGUAAGGCGACGGUGAGUUGAGAAAAGAGCAAUAUGAGAGAGGCUUGAUGGUGAAAACCGUUCAGGGAACUAUAAGUCGUCUGAGGAUAGUGGAUCAAAUAGGACAAUUGGAGUACUGAAGAACAGUUUCAUAGCUUAGAGGCAUAACAGGAGUUGAAUAUUAGACUUGCUUAACAGAUUAGGUUACUUUAAUCCAAAUGCAUGUUAUAGUCAUUAGAGUUUGUAUCUAUAUCUAAAAAGUCUAUACUUGGUGAUUUUCUUGUUAGAUGUCAUCUCUUUCUGUUGUCCCCUUAACUCUGUUCUUCUUGCUUUGUUUAAGUUCUUUGGAGUCUGUUUUGUCAGAACAAGUAAAGAAAUAAUGUCAAAAUCUACUACCAGCUUUCCAAUUGCACAAGUCUGGCUAGCACAUCAAAGUGGCAUACGUCGGGAAAGAACAAUAUGCACACUGAGUUAGUAACAAUCAACAUGCUUUAGGAUUCAUGUGAAAUGCAAAGGUUUGGUAAAUGUCAAAUUCAUGAGCAAAAUGCAACAGAUAGAGGGUAUUGCGAUUGAAUAGAGAAUAGGUCUUUUUUGUGAUAAGGGUUGAAAGAAAACGGAUAGUCGGUAACAGUCAAGGUUGUCCAAGUUGAAAUCAAUGUUAUUUUGGAAAGUAUAGAAGUAGCUGCUCUCAAGGUCAAUGCCACAAACUAACCACCACGUUUUCAAAAUAACAAAAUUUUAUUCGUCUAAAAAAGGGGCAAGAAAAUUUGUUAAUCCACAGGGACUCUCCCAUGAAGAAGGCAUAACUUAGGGGGCAAGAAAUUCGGUUCAGAAUCCUCCAAGAAGAGAGCAUGGCUCAGGUAAGUUCAUUCUCGUCUUUUCAAGACCUUCAUGGAUAAUGAGAUUUAGUUUUCAAGUUUUUAGGACUCUUCUGGAUAAUGGAAUUUAGCUUUCAAAUUUUCAGGACCCUCAUAGAUAAUGAGACUUAGCUUUCAGGACCCUCAUGGAUAAUGUGAUUUAGUUUUAAGAUUUCAGGACAAUCAUGGGUAAUGGGAUUUAGUUUUUAAGUUUUCAGGACCAUCCUGGAUAAUGGUAUUUAAUUUGAAUUUUAGGACCCUCAAAGAUAAUGAGAUUUAAUUUUAGAAAUUUUCAGGACCCUCUUGGAUAAUGAGAUCUAGCUAAAAUUCAAGACCUUCAAAGAUAACAAGAGUUAGCGUAAGCUCUACCUUUAGGAAAUAUAAUUUAGAUUUAAACUUGUUACUCUUGAGCUGAGAUUUAAUUUGAACUUUUCAGGGCCCUUCUGGAUAAGGAGAUUUAGCGUUUAAAUUAUUAGAUCUCUUUUAGGUAACAUGAUUCGAUUAACUAUCACAGAUGUGCCCAGAUACAAAACUGGGACAGAAAAAUUUCUUUCGUUUUUCGUCUGUUUUGUUGUAAUGUCAGGCACCCACCUGGAUAACAAGGUAAUACAAUUCAAGUUAGGCAAUCAGGUGUCCACCUGGAUAACAAGGAAAUACAAUUCAGGAUUUUGGCAAUCAGGCACCUGCCUGGAUAACAAAGGAAUACAAUUCAUGUAUUUGGCAAUCAUGCACCCACCUAGAUAAUGAGGGAAUACAGUUCAAGUUUUGGCAAUCAAGCGCCCACAUGGAGAACAAGGGAAUACAGUUUAAGUUUUUGGCAAUCAGGUGCCCACCUAGAGAACAAGGGAAUACAGUUCAAUUUUUGGCAAUUAGAUGCCCACCUGGAGAACAAGGGAUUACAGUUCAAGUUUUGGCAAUCAAGCGCCCACAUGGAGAAUAAGGGAAUACAAUUCAAGUUUUAGCAAUCAGGCACCCACCUGGAGAAUAAGGGAAUAUAGUUCAAGUUUUGGCAAUCAGGCGCCCACCUGGAGAACAAGGGAAUACAGUUCAAGUUCUGCCAAUUAGACACCCACCUAGAGAACAAGAAAAUACAGUUCAACUUUUGACAAUCAGGCGCCCACCUGGAGAAAAAGGGAAUACAAAUCAAGUUUGGCAAUCAGGUACCCACCUGGAGAACAAGGGAAUACAAUUCAAGUUUUGAAAAGUAGGAGCCUAACAUGGAUAACAAGGUCAUAUAGUUUAAGUUUUGAAAAUCAGGCACCCACUUGGAGAACAAGGGAAUAUAAUUCAGGUUUGGCAAUCAAACACCCAUCCGGAGAAUAAUGAAAUACAGUUCAAGUUUUGGAAAUCAGGCGCCCACUUGGAUAACAAGGGAAUACAGUUCAAAUUUUGGAAAUUAGGCACCCACCCGGAGAACAAGAAAAUAUAGUUCAAGUUUUGGCAAUCAGGCGCCCACCUUGAGAACAAGGGAAAAUAGUUCAAGUUUUAGCAAUCAGGCACCCACCUGGAGAACAAGGAAACACAGUUCAAGUUUUUGGCAAUUAGGCAUCCACCUGGAGAAUAAGGGAACACAGUUCAAGUUUUUGGCAAUCAGGCGCGCACCUGGAGAACAAGGGAAUACAAUUCAAGUUUUUGGCAAUCAGGCACCCAUCUGGAGAAUAAGAAAAUACAUUUCAAGUUUUGGCAAUUUGGCACCCACCUAGAGAACAAAGGAAUACAGUUCAAGUUCUUGGCAAUCAGGAAUCCACCUGGAGAACAAGGAAAUACAGUUCAAGUUUUGGGAAUCAGAAACCCACCUGGAGAACAAGGGAACACAGUUCAAGUUUUUGGCAAUCAGGCACCCACCUGGAAAACAAGGGUGCACAGUUCAAGUUUUUGGAAAUCAGGCACCCACCUGAAAAACAAGGGAAUGCAAUUCAAGUUUUUUGCAAUCAAGCACUCACCCGAAGAACAAGGAAAUACAGUUCUAGCUUUGACAAUCAGGCACCCACCUAGAGAACAAGGAAAAGCAGUUCAAGAUUUUGGCAAUUAGGCACCUACCUGGAGAACAAGGGAACACAGUUCAAGUUUUUUGUAAUUAGGCGUCCAACUGGAGAAUAAGGGAAUACAUUUCAAGUUUUGGCAAUCAGGCGCCCACUUUGGGACUGAGGAAUUCAUUUCCGAGUUACUUUCAAUUCGCAAACUCAAGAAGUAUCAACAGCCCGCCUGAAGAACAGAGCCCAUUUUUCAGUUUCUAGUUGGAGAUCAAGUAAAGAUUCACAGAAGAUUCAAGAUGAGAAGUAGAUCGGAUCAUGUAUUUUUCUAGUACUUUUAAUGUAAAUAUUCCUUUAAUUUCGAUGCAAUGGCAGGAACCGCGGACUGGAACUUCAACAGCACUUUACUCAGCUCUCCAACUCGGUAUACUCCAUCACCUCAUUUACUUGUGAACUACACGUGGCCUGAUUCCUUCAUAGCCAAGGAUAUCUAGGCAGCUCGGAUACUAUGGCUCUGUCAUAUUCUCUUUUCUUUUAGUUUUUGUCUCUAUAAAUAAGGGUUGGGUCAAAUAAUCUAUCUAAUCGUCUUUUUCUGAAAAUACGUCGUAUUUCUAGUCAUAGAGGGGCAGUUGUAGAUAUGUAAUUUUUUAUCAUCCCUAAGAUUUUACACUUUUUCGAUUUUAGAUAUUUAGCUUAGGACUAAUACUGCUAUUUUACCUAGUUUUAAUUAUUUUUCUUUAUUUUAAGAACAAAAAUUUAAAAAUUACAAAAAUAGUUCCAUAUUUCUCUACUUAAUUCAUGUAUUAGAUAUUUUUAGAAAGAUAUACUUCUUUGCACUUAUUUUAUUUUAAUCUAAUCUUUAAAAAUACCAAAAAUAGUUUUAACUUUAAUUUGUAGUUUUAUUUUAAUAUAAUAGUUUAUUAAAAUCAAUUGAGAGUUAAUUUAUACCUUGUUAUAAGUAUAUAUAUAUAUAUAUAUAUAUAAAGCAAAUUAAAUUUUCAGCUCAUUUAGGUUGUCUAGCCCAUAGAAUUUGAACCCAAAAAAUAAUUGGCCCAAUUGAUCCACUAACCCUAACCUUGUCUUCUUCUUCCUUACAAAAAAGACUUACAAUACGGACAAGGGCAUCGGUUGCCCACCUUCUUCUUUAGGGAGAUGAGAAUCCAAAAACCCUAGCUGAACCCUAGGAAAGACCUAACCCUAGGCCCAGCCGAAACCCUUCUCCAAGCACACCCCAGAACCCCUGCUUCUGAACAACCAAACGACCCACCUCAUCUCUAGCCACCAAGUCGUUGGAAAACGCGUCUCACAACAGCCACCAUUAGCACCGCCAGCCUCUUACUUACCACCUAUCACCCAAAGCAACAACUAAAAAACUAACCUUCAGCACAACCACCCGUCUUCUCCCUCUCCAAUACCAUCGACACCGUCGGAUCUUCAUCACCGGCUGUCCGAAAAAUGAGAUCCAAACACCCCACUACUCCUCCUAACUUUUUUUAGCCAUAGCAGCUGCCCACCACCAACCCUCAACCGAUGAAUUCCCCUUCACCACAAUAACUAAUGAGCCUCUCUUCUGAACAACCAAGAAAAACCGCCCAAAGUCCACCCUAAGACGCUAGGAACACACAUACAUAGUCAUAAGUAGAAGGACGGGCAAGAUCGAAGGGGAAAAAAAUAAAAAAAAAAACUAGUUUUCUGCUUCUUAAAUCUAGAAAAAUAUGCCCCCGUCUAUGAUUUUUUAUCUUCUCAUGGAGUUGAAUUGAUUUCGAGAUUGGAGUUCCGUCAAGGUUGAUGUCGAUUCGAGUUUCCAUCCACGUUUCGUUACAUUUUGAGCUCAAAACAGUGAUACAAUUUUCUUUCAGCUAUAUUUGAGGUCUACUCUUCCCUUUCCUUAUUGUUCUUUUACUUAAUAUCAUGACAUUGAUAAUACCGUUAAUUUGUUGUUACUGUAUGUUUGUUAUUGAGAUGGAUUGGUCUGCCUGUUGUUUUCAUUAAAUUGGUGGUUGAAUUGUUUUUGUAGUAUUGGCAGCCUAAACUAAAAUGGGAUUACUAAGUAAGAACUCCACUUGGAUCUUGUUGACUUUGAAAUAGUGAACGGGGUCGCUGUGUUAGUUUUCAAGGGGAUGAGAAUCCUGUUAAUUGAAAUUAAAUAAAAUUUGGGUUUUGGUUGUAGUUUAUGCGUGAAAUCGGGCUUUAAAACUAAGUUUAGUUAUGCUUUAUUUGUUUGAAUCACUAGGAGUAUGUUUUAGGCCGACCACGCUCAGGUACGCAAGCUUUAGGAUUUUUGUUAUUUUGAGGUGAGAGGCCGUUCCCUUAGUUUAAUUUAUACGAGGAAUGCCAAAAGGGAUUUGAUAUAUUUUAUUCCGGAGAAUACCCCGUAGUAUUCUAUAAAUGAAGGCCAAAUAUAGAACGAUUCGAGUAAACAUACAAUAGUAUUCUAUUUUUUCUCUUAUUUUUAUUUUAUUAAGUGGGGACGACCUCGACCUUCUUGUGUGUUUUUUUUUUUGUAAUUAUUUUAACCCAACUUAAAUAUUUUAAAAUCUGGGUAGAUCAAGUAUGCAACCGUACUAGUUAUGAGACUUGGGGAGUUCAUAACACAUUCUUCCCGAGUCAAAUGAACCCCCUUACACGAAUCUCUUGUGCAGACUUAGUUUUGGAGUCCAAAGUGUUUUAAAAGGAAUAUCAUUUUUAAAAACAAAAUAGUGACCUGGCACACCAAAAUCAAAUGUCAGGUGGUGACUUUGAGUUAAUCCUUUUGAAUACAUUUUUUUGUCACGUUCUAAUUGAAAAUCCUUUCAAGAUUUAAAAAUCCUUUUAUUAAUAUAAGAGGAUUAAUUGGUGAAAAAAAUGGUGUGACACAUAGCACUGAAGGAAAACAUGACCAGGCUGAGGGAAGCAGAGCUUGUAUGGAAUGUUGUUAUGUUGUCAAGACAAAGAGUGAUUAUUUGUCACGACCCCAAACCGGCCAGGUCGUGAUGGCGCCUCUUAUGAAGACGAGGGCAGCCAAUACAACACUCACAUUAACCUCUUAAGCGUUAAGAGUCAUUUUUAAAAAUUAAACAAUAUUUCAUAAAUACAAAUCUGAAUAAAAUGCAGAAAUAACAUACAAGCCUGACAUCGGGGUGUCACUAGUCAUGAGCAUCUAUUAAGGUCUGAAUAUAAAAAAAAAGUUUAAGAUAAUGCUGAGCACAGUAAUAGCAAUGUGAGGAAGGAAGCGGUACUGCGAACGUCAUGCAGCCACCUGCUGACUCUGAUGACUCCGCGUUUGAGAAAAUCAACACCCGCUAUUGGGUUUUGAUAUAGCUGUAUUUGCACAUGAGGUACAGAGAGUAAUGUGAGUACUCCAACUAAAUUAGUAAUGAGUAAAUAAAGACUAAGCAGUAGGAAACAAUGAGUCCAUAUUCUAAUUAGGCUCAAUAAGCACAACAGGCUUCCAAAUCAUAAUACGAGUCAACCUUCCCUUUUAAAAUCCAGCUUAUGGUAACAAUCAUUUUUGCAGCACUUUCCAGCAAUCUCGGUGGGGUUCAAUUCCAUUUAAAAUGAUAAUAGAGAUUAAAAACAUAAUAGGCCCCUCGGGCAAAACUUAGUUCGUAAAAUAGCCCCUCGGGCAAAAAAAUAAUCAUAAACACUUCAUAACUUGAAAUCUCGGUGGAAAUAGCCAAAUGCCAAAUUAGUUAUUAAUUUAUGAACAUCUUCUAAAACCCAGUAUAAAUAGAAGUUGUUUUAAAAUAUUUGUUCAACUUUUCGACAGAGGCUCAAUAUAAGGAUGAGUGAAAACAGUCAAUAUCAACAUAUUUGAUAGAAACUCGCAUUUAUGAGGAGUGAAAUCAAUAAGUUCAUAAACAGGCCUUUCAAGAAAAACGCCAUUCAUGUGCAUGUAUAUAUCUAUCUCCCUUCGAGCUAGCCACCUUGUCACUCGUGACUCUUCUCUUACCAAACGAUACUCGCACUCAGCAUUCACGCUCAAUAAGUACCAUAUAGUAACUGCUGCAGCGUAUAGCUCGAUCCGUAUAUCGCUGUGACAUGUAGCCUGAUCCAUAUAUUUCGUCAACAAUGCUAACUAGGGUGUGCAGACUACGGGAGGGGCCCCUUAUGGCCCAAGCGCAAAAUUGCUGCGGCGUGCAGCCCGAUCCAACAUAUCGCUGCGGCGUGCUGCCCGAUCCAACAUAUUGUUCUGGCGUGCAGCCCCAUCCAUAUAAGUAUUGGUGCGGCGUGUAGCCAGAUCAGUAUAUAUAUAUAUAUAUUGCUACAGCAUGUAGCCCGAUCUAUGGAUAUAUGAUCCUCACAACUAGGCCCUCGGCCUUUCUCUUUCAUUAACCUCACCAUCGAACUCUCAGUCUAUUUCUGUCGUCAAUCUCACCAUCAGACCCUCGGUCUAUCUUAGUAAAGUAGGGAACUCAGCCCAAAACAGUUCUCACACUUUUAAAAGUUUUGCUAUAAAAUAUUUGAGUAAUAACAGAUAAAAACAUGAUUGAGGAUAUGCUUUCAAACAAAUAUAGUAAGGAAAGGUACUAAAAAUGCCCCUAAGGGUCUCAAAAGGGCGGCACAAGGCCCCAAACAUGGCAUACAACCCAAAAUAUAGUAACAUUAAACAAUUAAAUAUCAAUUAUGCAUGAAAUAAUCGUUCAGAAUGGACUAGGUUACAAUCCCUACCGGUGCUAUACCCCAUGCUUGUUAUAUAUCAUGUAAGUCACCUCAAAGUAACACAAUGAUGUGUAAUCCAAGGUUUCAUACACUCAGGACAAUAUUUACAAUCAUUACUUACCUCGAAUUAGCUAAAGCUCGAGCUUGCUAUGCCCUUGCCUCUUAAAUCGGCCUCCUCGCGCGUCGAAUUUGACCAAAAACACAACGAAUACAUCACUAUAUGCCAAAGAAAUGAUACCCAAUCAAAAACAAUCAAAAAAUGUAAAAAAUCCCGAAAUUGGUAAAACUCGAGCCCCUGUGUCACUUCUCAAAACUCAGAAAUUUUUAAAUGGCUGGGUUCCUUAUCUUUCCACGAGUCUAUACAUAUCAAGAACUCCUAAAUCCUAGCUCAAAUGACCGAUCAAAACCCAAUUUGAAAUAUAAAAACUCAAACCCUAGUUCUUCCUCUUUUUGCAAAGCUUUUAUAAAUUUCCAGGUUAAUCCCACAAUUAAAUCAUGUUUUUAGUUCAUAGAACUUACCCCCAAUCAAUACUCUUCGAAAUCCCUCUUCAAUUCCUCCCAAAUAGUCCUCAAGGUGCUCAAAAAUGGUGGAAAAUGACUUAGGUUUGCGGAACAAAAUGUCUUAUAACUUAUGCCUAACUUUGAAAUUCCUUCUUCACGAUCGCGGCCAAGGCCUCGCGAUCGCGAAGGGAAAAAUUCCAAGGCCCCAAAAACGUUCUAUGCGAAUGCGACCAAACACUGCGAACGCGAUACAUAAAUACCCAGAUCUAUGCGAACGCGAGACUCUAAUGCGAACACGAAGGGUAAUUUCCACUGGACUUAUACGCGAACGCGAAGCACAACCAUCCGGCCUUCUGCAAAUGCAAACCCACAGACGCGAACACAAAGAGCAAAACAUCUAUCUUCAAAAUUUCUUCUACAUGAUCGCGACUCAGCCUACGCUAUCGCGAAGGCUAAAAACUCUACAACAUCAGAACUAACCAUGUGCAGCAUUUUCCAACUCUAAACUCCCCGUUAGCCAUCCGAAAUCACCCUGAGGCCCCCGAAACCUCAACUAAUAGCAUUAACACAUCCUAAAACAUCAUCCAAACUCGUUCUAAUUAUAUUUACACCUCAAACAAUGCCAAAACCAUCAAAUUAUAUCAAAUUCAAGCCUAAGUUCUUCUAAAACUUCCGAAGCACGCAUUUGAUCAAAAACCCGACCAAAUCACCUUCGUAUGACCUAAAAUUUUGCGCACAUAUCCCAAAUCACAUAACGAAGCUACAAAAACUUUUGGAAUUCCAUUCCGACCCCCAGAUCAAAAUCUCACCUAUCAACUAAUAAUUGCCAAAAUGCUAACUUCGCCAAUUCAAGCCUAAUUCUACACCGGACCUCCAAAACCGAAUUCCGUUCACACUCCAAAGUCAUAAAUCAACUAAUGAAGCUAACCAAAUCAUAAGAAUUCUGAUUCGAGCUCAUAUACGAUAAUUUAAAUCUUGGUCAAACCUUUAAAAUUUUAAGCUUUAAAUUGAGAAUUAUUCUUAAAAAUUCAUUCCAAAUUUUCAUGAAAACCAAAACCAACGAGCUACAUGACUCAUAAUACAUUACACGGGGUAAGUCAUGCUGGAGAACUAGCGAUUAAAGUGAAAAAGCUCAAAACGACCAGUCGGUCGUUACAUUCUCCCUCACUUAAACACAUGUUCGUCCUCGAACGUAUUUAGAGUUGUUCUAGAAGCCAACCAAUAGCUGAAUAACUUUACUAUGCAUAUACCCGGGGGUGAUCCCAUGUCACCCUAUCUCAUAUAGGUCCGAUAACACAUUAUAACUGAAAUUACACAACAUAGUCUAGCCCAUAAAUCAUAGAACCACAUUUUCCACUUCUAAAACCAUCAAUACGAUUAAAAUCUCACACCUAUGCUCUAAAUAGGUCCUAACCAGCUGUAAUAACCCCUGCCUGCAACUUCAAGUGCAAUUAUCUAAUACACCACGUAAGUCAAACACAUGUAGCGAUAACUUCCACUCACAACAGCUGCACACAACACCCGAAUAUCGGUAGAAAACCUCUUAUCAACUAAAGUCUCAUUCCAACACUUCCAUAUACUGCCAAUGAUAAAUGAAACAUACAAUAAACCGUAACCAUUUCUCAUAUUAGCUAUCUAUAAGGUUACUUUUCCAUUGGCAAGGACCAUAGCAAAUUUCUGAACUGAACCUCGAUAUUCAUCUAUCAAACAUGCUGAAAUCAAAUUUGUUUGCAUUCAUUUAGACCCAAAAAAUAUAAUCUAAUUCAAUACCAUCACUCUAGUGACAUGACACAUCAAGACAGGCUAAAACCACAACUUGCGCACUCCACGCACCAAUAAGCAUCAAUCUGAAUAUACUUACAUCAUGAAAUUGACUCAAAUGAAAAAGCUAUACCUCAAGCUCACCAAUACCAUCACAACACAUGGCUGAGAAUCCGUCUUUCAUCAUAGGAAUAGAACACACUAAUCUAACCCGCAAGGUCAUAUUUCCAUAUAGCUUAGCCAUCAUGCGCGAUCCUAUUCAAACACUGCUAAACAUAGAAUACCUCAAGUCACUAUGCUCGAAAUAAAAAACCACGCACAAUUUGAUGUCUGGAACCAAGGCAAAUUAUUACACCCAUGGUAAAACAAAUAACGUAUACCACUCAACCCAAUAGGACACAACCGAUAUGCCAUUCAGGGAACAACACAAAAUUACUCUUCCCGCUCGACUUCCACUAUGAGACCCCAAAUGCACCGCACCAUAUGUGCCCAUAAUAAACAAAGUAUAACGUCUCACAACACCAAAAGAUAAUCCAUAAACCUCCCCAAAUUACUAACAAGCUUAACAAUCAAAUCAACACAUCCCCUAUUAAUCCAAUUCGAAGUCAAUAAAACCAUCUCGAUGCAGGACACAUAUCCGCAUAGGUCCACCAAUGGACCACACAUCAACUCCACUUACAUACAAUAGGUAAAUAAUCCUUCGAAGGUCCAUAAUGACGGAAUCAUAGCACAUACUAAUAACUAACUAUCUUACCCACAUUUUUCCAUCCACAUACAAAAGCCAACCGCCAUAUGAGAACUUCCAGUCUCCAAGUCCAUAAAACAUACGAAUUACCACAUCUGAUCCCAUUUCUGCCACUCGCAUAUAUAACUCACAUCUAGUACUUAGUCUCCAAGUCUAUAAAACACACAAAGUACCAUAUCUGAUCCCAUUUCCGCCACUCGCAUAUAUAACUCACAUCUAGUACUCAAUCAUCCCAUGAGAUAUGCUCUAAUAAAAUACACGUCCCCAAACACGAUAGAAAUAACUAAGAGCUCUCCCAAUUCCGUUUGAACAACUAAACCGCCAAGACUAAAUCCUUCUAACUAGACCAAGCUAAUCAAGCCAUCAAAACCCAAGAGCAUUGCUGCGAAAUACCUGUACGAAUCCAUUACCUUCAACACACACAAAGAUUUAAUCAUAUCCUUACCAAACCGAUCUGGUACUAUCAAGAUACUCCAUCCAUCUAAAUUUCCUUCUGAUUCAUCUUCAACUUGAUAUUCCUUCUUGAUGUAGCACCACAAUUCCUCAAUCUAGUUGGAUAUACUGAUGCUGAUUAUGCCGGUUUCCUUGUGGAUAGGAAAAACACAUCAGGUAUGGCUCACUUUCUUGGUUCAUGUCUUGUAUCAUGGGCGACAAAAAAGCAAAAAUGAGUGGCUUUAUCCACUGCCGAGACUGAAUAUGUUGUUGCUGCAUCUUGUUGUGCUCAAUUGUUAUGGAUCAAACAGAAGAUGGUAGAUUUUGGAAUUGAAGUUGGCUGCAUUUAUAUAUCCUGUGAUAACACUAGUGCUAUAAGUAUGACAAAGAAGCAUGUUCAUCAUAAGAGGACUAAACACAUAGAUGGUAGACACUACUUCUUAAGAGAUAACUAUGAGAAAUGAUUGAUCUCCAUUAAAUUCGGUGCUACUAAUAAGCAAAUUACAGACACUACUUCCGAUAUACCUGUAUUUGCAAACGAGGUACAUGGAGUAAUGUGAGUCAUCCAACCCAGUAAGUAAUAAGAGUAAAUAAAUACUGAGCAGUAGGAAACAAUGAGUCUAUAUUCUCAUAAGGCUCAAUAAGCACAACAGGCUUUCGAAUCAUAAUAUGAGUCAACCUUCCCAUUUAAAAUCCAGCUUAUUGUAACAAUCAUUUUUGCAGCACUUUCCAACAGUCUCGAUAGGAUUCAAUGACAUUUAAAAUGAUAAUAGAGAUUAAAACCAUAAUAGGCCCCUCGGGCAAAACAUAGUUCGUAAAAUAGCCCCUCGGGCAAAAAAAUAAUCAUAAACACUUCAUAACUUGAAAUCUCGGUGGAAAUAGCCAACUUCCAAAUUAAUGAUUAAUUUCUGAACAUCUCGUAAAACCCAGUAUAAAUAAAAGUUGUUUUAAUAUAUUUGUUCACCUUUUCGAGAGAGGCUCAAUAUAAGAAUGAGUGAAGACAGUCAAUAUCAACAUAUUUGAUAGAAACUCGGAUUUACGAGGAGUGAAAUCAAUAAGUUCAUAAACAGGCCUUUCAGGAAAAAUGCCACUCAUGUGCAUAUAUAUGUCUAUCGCCCUUCGAGCUAGCCACCCUGUCACUCAUGACUCAUCUCUUACCAAACGAUACUCGCACUCAGCAUUCAAGUUCAAUAGGUACCAUAUAGUAACCGUUGCGGCGUGUAGCCCGAUCCAUAUAUUGCUCUAACAUGCAGUCUGGUCCAUAUAUCUCGUUGACAUCACUAACUCGGGGUGUACAGACUCCAGGAGGGGCCUCUUAUGGCCCAAUCGCAAUAUUGUUGCGGCGUGCAGCCCGAUCCAACAUAUUGUUGCGGCGUGCAGCCCGAUCCAUAUAAGUAUUGCUGUGGCGUGCGGCCUUAUCCGUAUACAUAUAUUUAUAUAUGCUGCGGCGUGCAUCCCGAUCGUACACACACCCACACAUAUACACAGACACAGACACAGACACAGACACACGCACACACACACACAUAUAUAUAUAUAUAUAUAUAUAUAUAUAUAUAUAUUGCUACAACAUAUAGCCCGGUCUAUGGAUAUAUAAUCCUCACAACUAGGCCCUCUGCCUUUCUCAGUCAUUAACCUCACCAAAUCGAACUCUUAGUCUAUCUCAGUCGUCAAUCUUACCAUCAGAACCUUGGUCUAUCUUAGUAAACCAGGGAACUCAGCCCAAAAGCGUUUUCACACUUUUUAAAAUUUUUGCUAUAAAGCCAAAUUUGAGUAAUAACAGAUAAAAUUAUGACUGAGGAUAUGCUUUCAAACAAAUAUUGUAAAGAAAAAUAGUAAAAAUGCCCCUAAGGGUCUCAACAAGGUGGCACAAGGCCCCAAACAUGGCAUACAACCCAAAAUAUAGUAACAUCAAACAAUUAACUCUCAAUUAUGCAUGAAAAUAAUCGUUCGGGAUGUACUAGGUUACAAUCCCUAGCGGUGCUCUACCCCACGCUUGUUAUCUAGCGUGUAAGUCGCCUCAAAGUAACACAACGAUGUGUAAUCGGGGGUAUCAAACCCUCAAGACAAUAUUUACAAUCACUACUUACCUCAAAUCGGCUAAAGCUCUAGCUUUCUAUGCCUUUUCCUCUCAAAUCGGCCUCCUCGCGCGUCGAAUUUUAGCUAAACCACAACGAAUACAUCACAAUAUGCCAAAGAAAUGAUACCCAAUCGAAAACAAUCGAAAAAUGUCAUAAAUCCCGAAAUUGGUAAAACUCGAGCCCCGAUCCCACUUCUCAAAACUCAUAAAUUUUCACAUCACCGGGUUCCCUAUCUCUCCACGAGUCUAUACAUAUUAAGAACUCCUAAAUCCGAGCUCAAAUGAACCAUCAAAAUCCAAUUUGAAAUAUAAAAACUCAGACACUAGUUCUUCCUCUUUUUGCCAAAUUUGUUUGAAUUUCCAGGUUAAUCCCACAGUUAAAUCAUGUUUUUAGUUCAUAGAACUUACCUCUAAUCAAUCUUCUUUGAAAUCCCUCUUCAAUUCCUCCCAAAUAGUCCUCAAGGUGCUAAAAAUGGUGGAAAAUGACUUAGGUUCACGGAACAAAAUGUCUUAUAACUUCUGCCCAGCUCUGCAAUUCCUUCAUCGCGAUCGCGGCUAAGGCCUCGUGAUCGCGAAGGGCAAAAUUCCAAGGCUCCAAACACGUUCUAUGCGAAUGCGACCAAGCACUGAGAACGCGAUACACAAAUUCCCAGAUAAAUGCGAACGCGAGAUUCUAAUGCGAUUACGAAGGGUAAUUUCCACUGGAUAUAUCUGCGAACGCGAAGCACAACCAUCUGGCCUUCUGCAAAUGCAAACCCACAGACGCGAACACAAAGAGCAAAACACCUAUCUUUAAAAUUUCUUCUAUGUGAUCGUGACACAACCUACGCGAUCGCGAAGGCUAAAAACUCUGCUACAUUAGAACUAACCAUGUACAACAUUUUCCAAUUCUAAACUCCCCGUUAGCCAUCUGAAAUCACCUGAGGCCCCCGGGACCUCAACCAAAAGCAUCAACACAUCCUAACACAUCAUCCAAAAUCGUUCUAAUCAUUAAAACACCUCAAAAAAUGCCAAAAACCAUCGAAUUAUAUCAAAUUCAAGCAUAAGUUCUUCUAAUACUUCUGAAGCACGCAUUUGAUCAAAAACCCGACCAAAUCUCCUUUGUAUGACCUGAAAUUUUGCACACACAUCCCAAAUCACAUAACAGAGCUACAACAACUUUUGGAAUUCCAUUCCGACCCUCAGAUCAAAAUCUCACCUAUCAACCAGUAAUUGCCAAAAUGCUAACUUCGCUAAUUCAAGCCUAAUUCUACACCGGACCUCCAAAACCGAAUUCCGAUCACACUCCUAAGUCAUAAAUCACCUAAUGAAGCUACCCAAAUCAUAAGAAUUCUGAUUUGAUCUCAUAUACGAAUAAUUUAAAUCUUGGUCAAACCUUUCAAAUUUUAAGCUUUAAAUUGAGAAUUAUUCUUUCAAAUUCAUUCCAAAUUUUCCUGAAAACCAAAACCAAUAAGCUACAUCACUCAUAAUACAUUACAAGGGGCAAGUCAUGCCCGAGAACUAGGGAUUAAAGUGAAAAAGCUCAAAAUGACCAGUUGCUCGUUACAUCCUCCCCCACUUAAACAAAUGUUCGUCCUCGAACGUAUUCAGAGUUAUUCUAGAAGCCAACCAAUAGCUGAAUAACUUUACUAUGCAUAUACCCAGGGGUGAUCCCACGUCACCCUAUCUCAUAUAGGUCCGAUAAUACAUUUUAACUGAAAUUACACAACCUAGUCUUGCCCAUAAAUAGAACCACAUUUCUCAAUUCUGAAACCAACAAUACGAUUAAAAUCUCACCAUAUACUCUGAAUAGACCCUAAUCAGCUGUAAUAACCCCUGCCUGCAACUUCAAGUGCAAUUAUCUGAUGCACCAUGUAACUCAAACACAUGUAGCGAUAACUUACAUUCACAACAGCUGCAUACAACACCCGAAUAUCGGUAGAAAAUCUCUUAUCAACUAAAGUCUCAUUCCAACACUUCCAUAUGCUGCCAAUGAUAAAUGAAACAUACAGUAAACUGUAACCAUUUCUCAUAUCAGCUAUCCAUAAGGUUACUUUUCCCUUGGCAAGGACCAUUGCAAGUUUCUGAACUAAACCUCGAUAUUCAUCCAUCAAACCUGCUGAAAUCGAAUUUGUUUGGAUUCAUUAUAGACCCAAACAAUCUAAUCUAAUUCAAUACCAUCACUUUAGUGACAUGACACAUCAAGACAGGCUAAAACUACAACUUGCGCAGUCCACGCACCAAUAAUCAACAAUCUUGAUAUACUUACAUCAUGAAACUGACUCAAAUGAAAAAGAUAUACCUCAAUCUCACCAGUACCAUCACAACACAUGGCUGAGAAUCCGUCUUUCAUCAUAGGAAUAGACCACACUAAUCUAACCCGCAAGGUCAUAUUUCCAUAUAGCUUCGCCAUCACGCGCGAUCCUAUCCAAACACUGCUCCACAUGGAAUACCUCAAGUCACUAUGCUCGAAAUUGAAAACCACGCACAAUUUGAUGUUUGGAACCAAGGCAAAUUAUUACACCCAUGGUAAAACAAAUAACGUAUACCACUCAACCCAAUAGGACACAACCGAUAUGCCAUUCAGGGAACAACACAAAAUUACUCUUCCCGCUCGACUUCCACUAUGAGACCCAAAAUGCACCGCACCAUAUGUGCCCAUAAUCAACAAACUAUAACGUCUCACAACACUGAAAGAUAACUCAUAGACCUCCCCAAAUUACUAAUAAGCUUAACAAUCAAAUCCCUCAAUAAUCCAAUUCGAAGUCAAUAAAACCAUCUCGAUGCAGGACACAUAUCCGCAUAGGUCCACCAGUGGACCACACAUCAACUCCAGUUACACACAAUAGAUAAAUAAUCCUUCGAAGGUCUACAAUGAAUGAAUCAUAGAACAUACUAAUAACUGACUAUCUUACCCACAUUUUGCCAUCCACAACCACAAGCCAUCCCGCAUAUGAGAACUUCCAGUCUCCAAGUAUAUAAAACAUACAAAUUACCAUAUCUGAUCCCAUUUCCACCACUCGCAUAUAUAACUCACAUCUAGUACUCAUUCAUCCCGUGAGAUAUGCUCUAAAAAAAUACACGUCCCCAAACACGAUAGAAAUAACUAAGAGCUCUCCCAAUUCUAUUAGCCCUACUAAACCGCCAAGACUGAAUCCUUCUAACUAGAUCAAGCUAAUCAAGCCGUCAACACCCAAGAGCAUUGCUGCGAAAUGCCUUUACGAAUCCAUUACCUUGAACACACGCAAAGAUUUAAUCAUAUCCUUACCAUACCGAUUCGGUACUAUCAAGCUACGCCAUCCAUCUAAAUUUCCUUCUGAUUCAUCUUAAACUUGAUAUUCCUUCUUGAUGUAGCACCACAAUUCCUCAAUCUAGUUGGAUAUACUGAUGCUGAUUAUGCCGGUUUCCUUGUGGAUAGGAAAAACACAUCAGGUAUGGCUCACUUUCUUGGUUCAUGUCUUGUAUCAUGGGCGACAAAAAAGCAAAAAUGAGUGGCUUUAUCCACUGCCGAGACUGAAUAUGUUGUUGCUGCAUCUUGUUGUGCUCUACAAAAAAGCAAAAUUGAGUGGCUUUAUCCACUGCCGAGACUGAAUAUGUUGUUGCUGCAUCUUGUUGUGCUUAAUUGUUAUGGAUCAAACAGAAGAUGGUAGAGUUUUACAUUGAAGUUGGUUGCAUUUCUAUAUCUUGUGAUAACACUAGUGCUAUAAGUAUGACAAAUAAGUAUGUUCAUCAUAAGAGGACUAAACACAUAUAUGUUAGACACUACUUCUUAAGAGAUAACUAUGAGAAAGGAUUGAUCUCCAUAGAAUUCGGUGCUACUGAUAAGCAAAUUACAGACACUACUUCUUAUAUACCUGUAUUUGCACACGAAGUACAUGGAGUAAUGUGAGUACUCCAACCCAGUAAGUAAUAAGAGUAAAUAAAUACUGAGCAGUAGGAAACAAUGAGUAUAUAUUCUCAUAAGGCUCAAUAAGCACAACAGGCUUUCAAAUCAUAAUAUGAGUCAACCUUCCCUUUUUAAAAUCCAGCUUAUUGUAACAAUAAUUUUUGCAGCACUUUCCAACAGUCUCGGUAGGGUUCAAUGCCAUUUAAAAUGACAAUAGAGAUUAAAACCAUAAUAGGCCCCUCGGGCAAAAUAUGGUUCGCAAAAUAGCCCCUCGGGCCAAACAAUAAUCAUAAACACUUCAUACUUGAAAUCUCGGUGGAAAUAGCCAAAUGCCAAAUUAAUGAUUAAUUUCUGAACAUCUCGUAAAACCCAGUAUAAAUAAAAUUUGUUUUAAAAUAUUUGUUCACCUUUUCGAGAGAGGCUCAAUAUAAGAAUGAGUGAAAACAGUCAAUAUCUACAUAUUUGAUAGAAACUCGCAUUUACGAGGAGUGAAAUCAAUAAUAUCAUAAACAGGCCUUUCAGGAAAAAUGCCACUCAUGUGCAUAUAUAUAUAUAUAUAUAUAUAUAUAUAUAUAUAUAUAUAUAUAUAUAUAUAUAUAUAUAUAUAUAUAUAUAUAUAUAUAUAUAUAUAUNNNNNNNNNNNNNNNNNNNNNNNNNNNNNNNNNNNNNNNNNNNNNNNNNNNNNNNNNNNNNNUAUAUAUAUAUAUAUAUAUAUAUUUGUAUAUAUAUCUAUAUAUAUAUCUAUUGCCCUUCGAGCUAGCCACUCUGUCACUCGUGACUCAUCUGUUACCAAACGAUACUCGCACUCAGCAUUCAAGCUCAACUGGUAUAGUAAUUUUUGCUUAAUAUCUAGGGAAGCCAAAUUGAUCAUUCAAAAUCAUAAUUUCAGGUUGAUUAGAACUCUAAUUGACAAUUGCAAAAGGCUACCUUCACUUAUUAAAUGUGUAUUUUUCUUUAAAUACCCAUCAACUUUCCUGCCUUCAUCAUAAUUUUAAACCGUCAAAUUUUUUUCUUAAAUUUCAAUUGCCCUCCUCUCAAAAAUCCCAAAUUCUCAUAAGAAACCUAACAAUCAUGUCUAUCCCACAAGACAAUCAUGGAACUCUUCCACCACCAUCUUCUUCUAAUUCAUCCUCAACUACUCCACCCAGUGCAUCUCGAAAACCUAGACUACGAAGACUGAAAAUGCUUGCUUGCAAGACUGUAGCAUCUGGGACUCUGAGGAAGGCUUUAAAUGAAAGGUUGAAAUCAAGCCAAGUGAAAGAAAACCAAGCUCCAAAUCCCAAAUCUAGCUCUGAGUCUUAACCCUAUCAAUCCGCUACUGAGGAGGAAGGACAUGGAUCUUCCGACUCUGAAAAGAUUUAAGAAUCUCCUUCUGAGGCAAGUUCAUAUGUGAUUGGAAACCUAGAGACUGGGUUUGUUCUGGUUGGUCCAAUUAGGGAUGUUGAAGUGCCUGAGUAACAUAGGAUUGGAGGUAAAAGAAUUUUGAAAAAGAAAAAGAGAGAGGGUGUAUAUGGUGAAGAAAGGGGAAUUGGGAAAGGUGUAGUGCCUGCUAUCUGUAGGGUUUAAUAUGAAAGGGUAGAGGAGAGUGGCAUGAAGCUAGGGGGAAGUAGUUCUGAGGAAGCUGGUGAGGGGUUGGUUCAUCUGAGCACACAGAGAGACGAACCUGUUCAAUCUAUUGAAGAGACCCUACUUGAUCUACUGAAAAAGGUUGGGGCAAGCUAUGAUCCAAAGAAACGCAGAACUCCCAUAACAAAAGCCCUAAAUGUUCCUAAACCUUCGAAUAAAAGAAAGGCUUCAUCCCCAAUACCUACUGCCUCCUUAUUGCCAAAGGGUAGAGCCACAAGAAGCAAGGUGAAACAGAGUGAAGCUGAUCUACAAAGGGCCUUAGAAGAAAGUAAGAAAAAGAGAAAAGAUAAAGUAAAGGGAAAGACUGCAGAAUCCUCAGAGGCUGUUGAGGAAGAAGAUAUGGAACUAGUCCAUCAAGAAAGGGGUACAACAGUGGAGGUUCCUACACCCAACCCUAAAAAUACCAAGACCUCUUCCAAGAAGUUUUCCUCUGUGCCAGUGAAUGAUGAACCCACACUAGCCAAGAGGACAAGAUCCGCAGUAAAAACCAAACAAUCAAAAGUUUCUGAUGAUGAUGACUAUAGUGGAGAAGAAGAAGAAAAUGAUUAUGAGAAGGAACAAGACAAGCUUUCCAUCUUUGGCAGAAGAAAUAUAUUAAAGGGCAGACUGUUGAAGGACCUGGUAGAACUAGGAAUGAUGAGAUUGGUGGAUGCCUUAGCCGCUUAGGGAUGGAAGGACAUGGUCUUUCAGAUGGAUGGUAGGCUAGCCAGAAAUGAGCUGAUUGAGUUUACCAUUGCUGCUGUUAAGGAUGGAGAUAUUAGUAGCCUUGUAAAAGGAGUCCAAGUGCAGUUUGAUAUAGAGAAACUGGGAGAGAUCCUUGACAUACCUUUUAUAGGGUUUGAUAUACCUGUAUUUGCACACGAGGUACAUGGAGUAAUGUGAGUACUCCAACCCAGUAAGUAAUAAGAGUAAAUAAAGACUGAGCAGUAGGAAACAAUGAGUCCAUAUUCUCAUUAGGCUUAAUUAGCACAACAUGCUUUCAAAUCAUAAUACGAGUCAACCUUCUCUUUUAAAAUCCAGCUUAUAAUAACAAUCAUUUUUCCAGCACUUUCCAGCAGUCUCGGUAGGGUUCAAUGCCAUUUAAAAUGAUAAUAGAGAUUAAAACUAUAAUAGGCCUCUUGCGCAAAACAUAGUUUGUA
RNAcentral lists this long non-coding RNA (22072 nucleotides) under Nicotiana benthamiana. RNAcentral describes it as "long non-coding RNA (NBEN_LNC031771)". The record is from RNAcentral. Lineage: Eukaryota; Viridiplantae; Streptophyta; Magnoliopsida; Solanales; Solanaceae.